AAAAGGAUCUAGGGGAUAUAGACAAUAAUAUAGUCUAAAACCCCAUAAAAAGAAGAAGGAGAAGAAGAAGAACGCCGCGUCAGAAAGGGACUCCUUGGUGACCAUUGUCCACGUUAUUUCUCAUUAUUGGUUCAGAUCUACCACCAACUGAAAGAUACAACAUUUUGAGAUGCAUGAAGAUACUUCUACAACGAACAAAUAUAAGUCAUUACAAUUAAGCUACAAAGAAAAUCAGAAGAAAAGGAACCAGGGGAUAUAGACAGUGUUAUAUUUGAAAACCUAAUGAAAGAAAUUAAAGAAAAUCAGAAGAAAAGGAACCAGAGGAUAUAGACAAUAUUAUAGUCCAAAACCCAAUAAAAGGAGAAGAGGUUUUAUCUACUUUGGCAUCAAAAAGUGGGGGCAGUGCUCCAUGUGACCCUUCCUGGGGGGCCACUGCUUCCCAACCCCCACCCUGGAGAACAAAAAAUCCUCCACAUUUUUGCAGCAGGAGAGAGCAUCGGACAAACUAGGCAUUGGGUGCCUAGUCUGGUCACUGUGGGUAGUGCAAGAAUUCCACACUGUUCGCACUCCUGUAAAACUAGUUAGUAGAUAUCACCUUACAUUACCGGAAAUAUAGUCACUUUGUAUUGUUAUACAGAAGAGUCUUAUUUUAGGUAUAGUAUUUGAUCUUUAUAUUAAAUAUUUGGAUGACACGUAAAUGACUGCCAAUAGUAGUUGGUGCUCCAGCAGAAGAGGACAAACCUGCACCAUGUUUACAUAGGAUAUUGUAAAAAUGAUUUGAGAGGAAAUGGAUUUUUUUUUUCCUUAUCCCCUACAAUCUGGGAGACCAUUUGCUUUUUUUCCAGAGGUCCCUCAUAUUCUGUACUGAAAAGAAAAAACUUUUUUAGGUAAAAAUGAGCCAAAAUACCUUGGAAAUCACUU
Penaeus monodon (black tiger shrimp) is the source of this 921-nucleotide long non-coding RNA. RefSeq lists it as uncharacterized. Lineage: Eukaryota; Metazoa; Arthropoda; Malacostraca; Decapoda; Penaeidae. The transcript has 3 exons. The record is from RefSeq and is a predicted model, not a curated record.